UCCUUCCUGGUGUAGUGGUUAACACCUUCUCCUUCUAGAUUGAAAAGUGGUGAAAAGUUAGCAGGUCUGGUGUUCGAAUCCCCUGGGUGGAU
Mycena olivaceomarginata is the source of this 92-nucleotide non-coding RNA. Lineage: Eukaryota; Fungi; Basidiomycota; Agaricomycetes; Agaricales; Mycenaceae. The record is from the annotation of a GenBank genome assembly.